CUCUCUACGUACACACUUCCUGUCUGCUAAAUAACAGUGUCAGGAAUAUCAUCUAUCAUGGUGGGCUACUGUCCCAUCUGUGGGAAACCCGUCUACUUUGGUGAGAAGAAGAGGUCAUUGGGGCGGGACUACCACCCUCUGUGUCUGAAGUGUCAACAGUGUCAGAGACAGUUGACCCCAGGACAACAUGCUGAGCAGGUAACAGGAGACUGAUGUCAAACUGUCACAGCUCAGCCUCCUCUUCCUCUUCCUCCUCCUAGGAACCAGUCUAACCAAAAACCACCAAAAUACAACCUAAUGAGAACUAACAGGCUAUCAACAAGGAUCUAUGUUCAACAAAACUGACAUUCAGCCAACAAGCCAACGACCAACCAACUAGACCCAACAUUCAGCCAACCAACAUUUGACCAAUCAAGAAAUACUCUGAAAGUCCCCCUCUUUCAGUCAAUCAUAAAACAA
Long non-coding RNA from Salvelinus namaycush (lake trout), 459 nucleotides. RefSeq lists it as uncharacterized. NCBI's taxonomy places the organism in Eukaryota, Metazoa, Chordata, Actinopteri, Salmoniformes, Salmonidae. The record is from RefSeq and is a predicted model, not a curated record. The transcript is spliced from 3 exons.